Homo sapiens (human) is the source of this 619-nucleotide long non-coding RNA. RefSeq lists it as uncharacterized. NCBI's taxonomy places the organism in Eukaryota, Metazoa, Chordata, Mammalia, Primates, Hominidae. The record is from RefSeq and is a predicted model, not a curated record. The transcript has 3 exons.
UCCAGCCUGAGUGACAGAGUGAGACUCAACUAUAAACAAACAAACAAACAAACAAAUAAAUAAAGGGCCUCCUUGGAGGCCCAACACAUCAGGGACAUCUCAUCCACCGCUUACUCCUCCCAAGCCCAGCAGAGCAGGGAGGGUGGCGGAGCAUUUGCCCAGUGUGCACGGCUAAUGCCAUCCCGUCCACGUGAUCAAGUGGUACCUGGAAGAACCUGACAAGGCAGCUCCAGACUAAGGACAAGUCAACCCCUUUUCUAGCCUGUUUCCUCAUGGUGAACUGACAGGGUGGGACUAGAACUCACAAGUGGCCAGGCCAGCAUUGGAAGCCAGCUCUGCCUGCCCGCACAGGCCUGGACGCCCAGCCACAACCUGGUGUCCCCUCUGCCCAGCUCUCGCCUUGGCUCUCAGCUCCAAGAGGAUCACCUGGAAUCCAUCAUUGUCCACUGGAACUUUCUAUGAUGAUGGAAAUGCAUGCAGUUCUGCACUGUCGAAUACAGUGGUAGUCAGUAGCCAUAAGUGGCUACUGAGCACUCAAAAUGUGCCUAGCGCAACUAAGAAACUGAAUUUAUUUUAUUUUAUUUUAUUUUAAAAAUAAAGGCUAGUCUCAAACUCCCAA